GGCAUAGGGGGCAAGCGUUAUCCGGAAUUAUUGGGCGUAAAGAGCUCGUAGGCGGCUUGUUGCGUCAGUUGUGAAAACCCGCAGCUCAACUGUGGGCUUGCAGCUGAUACUGGCAGGCUUGAGUUCGGUAGGGGAGACUGGAAUUCCUGGUGUAGCGGUGAAAUGCGCAGAUAUCGGGAGGAACACCUGUGGCGAAAGCGGCUCACUGGGCCACAACUGACGCUGAGGCGCGAAAGCUAGGGGAGCAAACAGG
Molecule: ribosomal RNA, 253 nt
Filed under: uncultured bacterium
Lineage: Bacteria
Description: partial 16S ribosomal RNA
Rfam family: Bacterial small subunit ribosomal RNA
Source: RNAcentral